GAUGAAGAACGUAGUGAAAUGCGAUAAGUAAUGUGAAUUGCAGAAUUCAGUGAAUCAUCGAAUCUUUGAACGCACAUUGCGCCCGCCAGUAUUCUGGCGGGCAUGCCUGUUCGAGCGUCAUUUCAACCAUCAAGCCCCCGGCUUGUGUUGGGGACCUGCGGCUGCCGCAGGCCCUGAAAACCAGUGGCGGGCUCGCUAGUCACUCCGAGCGUAGUAGUUACAUCUCGCUCAGGGCGUGCUGCGGGUUCCGGCCGUUAAAAGCCUUAUUUACCCAAGGUUGACCUCGGAUCAGGUAGGAAGACCCGCUGAACUUAAGUAUAUCAAUAGCGGAGGA
Molecule: unclassified non-coding RNA, 334 nt
Filed under: soil metagenome
Description: partial contains 5.8S ribosomal RNA, internal transcribed spacer 2, and large subunit ribosomal RNA
Rfam family: 5.8S ribosomal RNA (bases 1-120)
Source: RNAcentral